UGGCCUUGGUGUACGUCAAUAUUUAAAAAUGUUGGUUAAAUGUUAAUUAAUUAGUUCCAACCAGUUAUCAUCGCUGCAUUAGGAAAUAUAAAAAUGCUAUUCACAAAACGCCAUCCUAAAAAAAUUAAACAUUCAUAAAAGUACUUCUAGCUAACAGAGGUGGGUAAUUAAGUUGUAGUAUUCAGUAGUAAUUAACAUAUCUAUUAUCUAUGAACACAUUAUUACAACAAUAUUCUCUCACUAUGAUGUUGGAAAAUUAAUAAUACCAUUUGUAAUUAUCUUUUUAAUCUUACAUUGUAAUCACUCUAACGUCUUUCAAGAACAGUAAUAAAUCAUAUAUGGUUUGCACAUAAAUAAU
RNAcentral lists this long non-coding RNA (358 nucleotides) under Cucumis sativus (cucumber). Its description in RNAcentral is "long non-coding RNA (CSAT_LNC002520)". The record is from RNAcentral. Lineage: Eukaryota; Viridiplantae; Streptophyta; Magnoliopsida; Cucurbitales; Cucurbitaceae.